Molecule: unclassified non-coding RNA, 337 nt
Filed under: soil metagenome
Description: partial contains 5.8S ribosomal RNA, internal transcribed spacer 2, and large subunit ribosomal RNA
Rfam family: 5.8S ribosomal RNA (bases 1-120)
Source: RNAcentral
GAUGAAGAACGUAGCGAAAUGCGAUAAGUAGUGUGAAUUGCAGAAUUCAGUGAAUCAUCGAAUCUUUGAACGCACAUUGCGCCCCUUGGUAUUCCAUGGGGCAUGCCUGUUCGAGCGUCAUUUGUACCUUCAAGCUCUGCUUGGUGUUGGGUGUUUGUCUCGCCUCUGCGUGUAGACUCGCCUCAAAACAAUUGGCAGCCGGCGUAUAGAUUUCGGAGCGCAGUACAUCUCGCGCUUUGCACUCAUAACGACGACGUCCAAAAGUACAUUUUUACACUCUUGACCUCGGAUCAGGUAGGGAUACCCGCUGAACUUAAGCAUAUCAAUAAGCGGAGGA